Molecule: ribosomal RNA, 407 nt
Filed under: uncultured bacterium
Lineage: Bacteria
Description: partial 16S ribosomal RNA
Rfam family: Bacterial small subunit ribosomal RNA
Source: RNAcentral
AUUGAACGCUGGCGGCGGGCCUAAUACAUGCAAGUCGAGCGGAGCUGCGGACGGGUGAGUAAUGCCUGGGGAUCAGCCUGGUAGUGGGGGAACACGUUCGGCGACGGACGCUAAUACCGCAUACUUUCAGCUGAGCCUCGGUGGGAUUAUCUAGUGGGUGCGGUAAUGGAUCACCAAGGCUACGAUCCGUAACUGGUCUGAGCGGAUGAUCAGUCACACUGGAACUGAGACACGGUCCAGACUCCUACGGGAGGCAGCAGUGGGGAAUAUUGGACAAUGGGCGAAAGUCUGAUCCAGCCAUGCCGCGUCUGUGAAGAAGGUCUUCGGAUUGUAAAGCACUUUAAGUUGGGAGGCGUUACCGACAGAAUAAGCACCGGCUAACUCUGUGCCAGCAGCCGCGGUAAUUC